Molecule: ribosomal RNA, 260 nt
Filed under: uncultured bacterium
Lineage: Bacteria
Description: partial 16S ribosomal RNA
Rfam family: Bacterial small subunit ribosomal RNA
Source: RNAcentral
GUCCACGCCGUAACUAUGAGUGCUAGACGUCGGGAAGCUUGCUUUCGGUGUCGCAGCUAACGCAUUAAGCACUCCGCCUGGGAGUACGGCCGCAAGGUUAAACUCAAGGAAUUGACGGGCCCGCACAAGCGGUGGAGCAUGUGGUUUAAUUCGACGCAACGCGAAGAACCUUACCAGCCCUUGACAUACUAGGUUUCGACCCCGAGAGAUUGGGGUCUUCAGUUCGGCUGGGCCUAGUACAGGUGCUGCAUGGCUGUCGU